AGGAUGAAUGCUGGCGGCGUGGAUAAGGCAUGCAAGUCAAGGGGACCGCAAGGUAACCGGCAGACGAGGUAGUAAUAUACAGGUACUCACCGAAAAGUCGGGCAUAGCUAGUCGAAAGAUUAGGUAAUUCCCGAUAGUCCCUCCGGGGUAAAGGCGCCUAUUUAUUUAGGUGUGCGCUUUUUGAGAGGCCUGUACAGCAUCAGCUAGUUGGUAAGGUAAUGGCUUACCAAGGCUAUGACGCUUAGGGGAGCUGAGAGGCUGACCCCCACGAUAGCACUGAGACACGGGCUAUACACCUACGGGUGGCUGCAGUCGAGAAUCUUCCACAAUGGACGAAA
RNAcentral lists this ribosomal RNA (338 nucleotides) under uncultured bacterium. RNAcentral's name for it is "SSU rRNA". It matches the Rfam family "Bacterial small subunit ribosomal RNA", at positions 26 to 380 of the family's 1533-position model. The record is from RNAcentral.